UAUUAGUAGAAUUUAGUCCCUAAAUAAAAUAUCUAAGAGAAAGAUGUCACGUCCAUCACAUCGUAACAUUCACAUUGGAUUCAAAGAUACACCACAGAUUGAAAUAUCUUGCAUUUUUGUGCUUAUUACGAUAACUAAAAAUGUGUUUAAAUAAUUAAACUCAAUUGUCCAUAUCCGGAAAAUGUAUAGUCAAUUGCGUAUGUUUCUAGUUCCAGAGGACUACAUAAAUUUUGCAAGGAUUUAAAUAUCCAUCGGAUUGAAUAUAAAGGGUUUAAAAAUGCAUAUCAUUUGUUACGUUUAGUCCUUUUUUUAUCGACAGGACAAAAAAAAAAAAACAAAAUAUAAAACUUACCAAUCCCACAGCUGAUACAAACAGGUAAACAUGAUGCCGGUGAAUUUUUGUAUAAAUCACUUCAGUCAAAAAAUGUAUCAUACAAAAAAUUUUAAAUAAAAAUACAAAGAACUUAAAAACCAAAUAAAUAAAAACACAACCGAAUUUAUUUGUUUUUUCUUUUUUUAAAAAACUUUUUGUUUUUGUUCUUAUUUUGUCUUCUUCAGUUCAGUUAACCGAAAAUAUUUUAUUUCGAUUUCCAAAUAUUUCUCUAUCCACUUCACAAUUUUAUUUUUUCGUUUCAUAAUUUUAUUUUUAUUUAUAUUAAU
This is a long non-coding RNA of Eupeodes corollae, 660 nucleotides long. RefSeq lists it as uncharacterized. Lineage: Eukaryota; Metazoa; Arthropoda; Insecta; Diptera; Syrphidae. The transcript is spliced from 2 exons. The record is from RefSeq and is a predicted model, not a curated record.